AGGGGCAGCACAUGAGGUAGCAAUACCGAUGGUGGCGACCGGCGCACGGGUGAGUAACACGUAUGCAACCUGCCUUCAACAAGGGAAUAACCCGUUGAAAGACGGACUAAUACCCUAUAAAACAGGGGCUCCGCAUGGAGAUAUUUGUUAAAGAUUUUAUCGGUUGAGGAUGGGCAUGCGCUCCAUUAGUUAGUUGGUAAGGUAACGGCUUACCAAGGCAACGAUGGAUAGGGGAACUGAGAGGUUUAUCCCCCACACUGGUACUGAGACACGGACCAGACUCC
RNAcentral lists this ribosomal RNA (284 nucleotides) under uncultured Porphyromonadaceae bacterium. RNAcentral describes it as "partial 16S ribosomal RNA". It matches the Rfam family "Bacterial small subunit ribosomal RNA", at positions 65 to 339 of the family's 1533-position model. The record is from RNAcentral. Lineage: Bacteria; Pseudomonadati; Bacteroidota; Bacteroidia; Bacteroidales; Porphyromonadaceae.